UACGGGAGGCAGUAGUGGGGAAUAUUGCACAAUGGGCGAAAGCCUGAUGCAGCUAUGCCGCGUGUAUGAAGAAGGCCUUAGGGUUGUAAAGUACUUUCAUCGGGGAGGAAAAAACAAAACUAAUAAUUUUAUUUCUUGACGUUACCCGAAAAAGAAGCACCGGCUAACUCCGUGCCAGCAGCCGCGGUAAUACGGAGGGUGCUAGCGUUAAUCAGAAUUACUGGGCGUAAAGAGCACGUAGGUGGUUUUUUUAAAGUCAGAUGUGAAAUCCCUGGGCUUAACCUAGGAACUGCAUUUUGAAACUGAAAUACUAGAGUAUCGUAGAGGGAGGUAGAAUUCUAGGUGUAGCGGUGAAAUGCGUAGAUAUCUGGAGGAAUACCUGUGGCGAAAGCGGCCUCCUAAACGAAUACUGACACUGAGGGUGCGAAAGCGUGGGGAGCAAACGAGGGAUUAGAUACC
This 459-nucleotide ribosomal RNA is filed under the name uncultured bacterium. RNAcentral's name for it is "bacterial SSU rRNA". It matches the Rfam family "Bacterial small subunit ribosomal RNA", at positions 340 to 786 of the family's 1533-position model. The record is from RNAcentral.